AGACCCGAAACCCGGUGAUCUAGCCAUGGGCAGGUUGAAGGUUGGGUAACACUAACUGGAGGACCGAACCGACUAAUGUUGAAAAAUUAGCGGAUGACCUGUGGCUGGGGGUGAAAGGCCAAUCAAACCGGGAGAUAGCUGGUUCUCCCCGAAAGCUAUUUAGGUAGCGCCUCGUGAAUUCAUCUCCGGGGGUAGAGCACUGUUUCGGCUAGGGGGCCAUCCCGGCUUACCAACCCGAUGCAAACUGCGAAUACCGGAGAAUGUUAUCACGGGAGACACACGGCGGGUGCUAACGUCCGUCGUGAAGAGGGAAACAACCCAGACCGCCAGCUAAGGUCCCAAAGUCAUGGUUAAGUGGGAAACGAUGUGGGAAGGCCCAGACAGCCAGGAUGUUGGCUUAGAAGCAGCCAUCAUUUAAAGAAAGCGUAAUAGCUCACUGGUCGAGUCGGCCUGCGCGGAAGAUGUAACGGGGCUAAACCAUGCACCGAAGCUGCGGCAGCGACGCUGAUGCGUUGUUGGGUAGGGGAGCGUUCUGUAAGCCUGCGAAGGUGGCCUGUGAGGGUUGCUGGAGGUAUCAGAAGUGCGAAUGCUGACAUAAGUAACGAUAAAGCGGGUGAAAAGCCCGCUCGCCGGAAGACCAAGGGUUCCUGUCCAACGUUAAUCGGGGCAGGGUGAGUCGACCCCUAAGGCGAGGCCGAAAGGCGUAGUCGAUGGGAAACGGGUUAAUAUUCCCGUACUUGGUGUUACUGCGAAGGGGGGACGGAGAAGGCUAUGUUGGCCGGGCGACGGUUGUCCCGGUUUAAGCGUGUAGGUGUGUGUUCCAGGUAAAUCCGGUUCACUUUAACACUGAGGCGUGACGACGAGGCACUACGGUGCUGAAGCAACAAAUGCCCUGCUUCCAGGAAAAGCCUCUAAGCAUCAGGUAACAUCAAAUCGUACCCCAAACCGACACAGGUGGUCAGGUAGAGAAUACCAAGGCGCUUGAGAGAACUCGGGUGAAGGAACUAGGCAAAAUGGUGCCGUAACUUCGGGAGAAGGCACGCUGACACGUAGGUGAAGUGAUUUACUCACGGAGCUGAAGUCAGUCGAAGAUACCAGCUGGCUGCAACUGUUUAUUAAAAACACAGCACUGUGCAAACACGAAAGUGGACGUAUACGGUGUGACGCCUGCCCGGUGCCGGAAGGUUAAUUGAUGGGGUCAGCGCAAGCGAAGCUCCUGAUCGAAGCCCCGGUAAACGGCGGCCGUAACUAUAACGGUCCUAAGGUAGCGAAAUUCCUUGUCGGGUAAGUUCCGACCUGCACGAAUGGCGUAAUGAUGGCCAGGCUGUCUCCACCCGAGACUCAGUGAAAUUGAACUCGCUGUGAAGAUGCAGUGUACCCGCGGCAAGACGGAAAGACCCCGUGAACCUUUACUAUAGCUUGACACUGAACAUUGAGCCUUGAUGUGUAGGAUAGGUGGGAGGCUUUGAAGCGUGGACGCCAGUCUGCGUGGAGCCGACCUUGAAAUACCACCCUUUAAUGUUUGAUGUUCUAACGUGGACCCGUUACCCGGGUUGCGGACAGUGUCUGGUGGGUAGUUUGACUGGGGCGGUCUCCUCCUAAAGAGUAACGGAGGAGCACGAAGGUUGGCUAAUCCUGGUCGGACAUCAGGAGGUUAGUGCAAUGGCAUAAGCCAGCUUGACUGCGAGCGUGACGGCGCGAGCAGGUGCGAAAGCAGGUCAUAGUGAUCCGGUGGUUCUGAAUGGAAGGGCCAUCGCUCAACGGAUAAAAGGUACUCCGGGGAUAACAGGCUGAUACCGCCCAAGAGUUCAUAUCGACGGCGGUGUUUGGCACCUCGAUGUCGGCUCAUCACAUCCUGGGGCUGAAGUAGGUCCCAAGGGUAUGGCUGUUCGCCAUUUAAAGUGGUACGCGAGCUGGGUUUAGAACGUCGUGAGACAGUUCGGUCCCUAUCUGCCGUGGGCGCUGGAGAACUGAGGGGGGCUGCUCCUAGUACGAGAGGACCGGAGUGGACGCAUCACUGGUGUUCGGGUUGUCAUGCCAAUGGCACUGCCCGGUAGCUAAAUGCGGAAGAGAUAAGUGCUGAAAGCAUCUAAGCACGAAACUUGCCCCGAGAUGAGUUCUCCCUGAGACUUAGAGUCUCCUGAAGGAACGUUGAAGACGACGACGUUGAUAGGCCGGGUGUGUAAGCGCAGCGAUGCGUUGAGCUAACCGGUACUAAUGAACCGUGAGGCUUAACCUUACAACGCCGAAG
This 2251-nucleotide ribosomal RNA is filed under the name Salmonella enterica. Its description in RNAcentral is "partial 23S ribosomal RNA". It matches the Rfam family "Bacterial large subunit ribosomal RNA", at positions 711 to 2925 of the family's 2925-position model. RNAcentral also lists the same sequence under 2 other names. The record is from RNAcentral. Lineage: Bacteria; Pseudomonadati; Pseudomonadota; Gammaproteobacteria; Enterobacterales; Enterobacteriaceae.